GAUGAACGCUGGCGGCGUGCCUAAUACAUGCAAGUCGAGCGAACGGACGAGAAGCUUGCUGCUCUGAUGUUAGCGGCGGACGGGUGAGUAACACGUGGAUAACCUACCUAUAAGACUGGGAUAACUUCGGGAAACCGGAGCAAAUACCGGAUAAUAUUUUGAACCGCAUGGUUCAAAAGUGAAAGACGGCCUUGCUGUCACUAAUAGAUGGAUCCGCGCUGCAUUAGCUAGUUGGUAAGGUAACGGCUUACGAAGGCAACGAUGCAUAGCCGACCUGAGAGGGUGAUCGGCCGCCCUGGAGCGGGGCCACGGUCCAGGCUCCUACGGGAGGCAGCAGUAGGGAAUCUUCCGCAAUGGGCGAAAGCCUGGCGGAGCAACGCCGCGUGAGUGAUGAAGGUCUUCGGAUCGUAAUACUCUGUUAUUAGUGAAGAACAUAUGUGUAAGUAGCUGUGCACAUCUUGACGGUACCUAAUCAGAAAGCCACGGCUAACUACGUG
This 497-nucleotide ribosomal RNA is filed under the name uncultured bacterium. RNAcentral's name for it is "partial 16S ribosomal RNA". It matches the Rfam family "Bacterial small subunit ribosomal RNA", at positions 28 to 507 of the family's 1533-position model. The record is from RNAcentral.